UACGUAGGGUGCGAGCGUUGUCCGGAAUUAUUGGGCGUAAAGAGCUUGUAGGUGGUUUUGUCGCGUCUGCUGUGAAAAUCCGAGGCUCAACCUCGGACUUGCAGUGGGUACGGGCAGACUAGAGUGUGGUAGGGGAGACUGGAAUUCCUGGUGUAGCGGUGGAAUGCGCAGAUAUCAGGAGGAACACCGAUGGCGAAGGCAGGUCUCUGGGCCAUUUACUGACACUGAGAAGCGAAAAGCAUGGGGAGCGAACAGG
Molecule: ribosomal RNA, 256 nt
Filed under: uncultured bacterium
Lineage: Bacteria
Description: partial 16S ribosomal RNA
Rfam family: Bacterial small subunit ribosomal RNA
Source: RNAcentral